Molecule: long non-coding RNA, 2635 nt
Organism: Gallus gallus (chicken)
Lineage: Eukaryota; Metazoa; Chordata; Aves; Galliformes; Phasianidae
Source: Ensembl
GACUUCCGCUGUCCGCUCAGCAGCGGGUGCUUCUCCUGUGUCCCCAAUAGAGGGCAGUAGGAGCCUGCGCACCUAUUGGCUGUUUUGGUUCUUUCUGCUACGAAAUUUGAACCCUAUUAAAGGCAGAAGAAUGUUUCCAAUCUGAAGUGGUUCCACAUCACUCCAUCAGCUGCAGCGGCGCCUCCCUGUGUACAGAUGGGGGCUGUGAUAGGAACUAAAUCACCCACUCAGGGCCGCUUUGUUUAUGAUACGCUGACCCCGUUCCUCACAGUCUGAGUGUGUGUUCAGACCUAGAGAGAUCCCUGACCAAAGUUCCUCCACAGAUCUUUUUGUGAGAGUACAGGAUGUUAACGUGAACAUCUUGGCCAGGUUCCGUUUGAGUAAUUAUGUUCUGCCUUCCUGAAUUCCCCUCUAAUUUCGAGUGCGUGUGAGAUGCCUCACUUCCAGGCCUGCCUAUGACCAAUGAGUGCCAUUUGUAUCACAACACCUUGCUGCCUCCCAUCUAAAGGUGGUUCCAUUUCACUGACAGAUGUUUCUUUCCCCUGCCGAGGGGUCUCGGUGCUCCAACUGCCACAGUGGCAUUUACUGAAUGAAAUUGUCCUAUACAUUUCAGCUAGAGGUAAUUCCUCGCUUAAAAAUGAGUAACCUCCCUCUGGUGAAUGUUUCAUCACCGUAGUGCUUAACGAUGAAUGCAUUGUUAUCCUAUACCAUCUUGAAGAAGCCAGACCCUUUUGAUUUCCUAGGAAACCGUUCCCCAUCAUUUUGUUUUGAUAGGGAACUGAUAACUUGUUCCUAAACAACUUCAACCUGGAGAAUUAUCUAAAGUUUCACAUAAGGGCCGUGAUGGUUCCCAAAGUUUCACUGAUCCGUUGUUGAUCAUGAAGCAAUCAUUCUAUUGCUUUGAAGCUCCGCUUUUUUCUGCUCAAAGAAAGGCAAAUAUUAUUUAUCUGCCUUCAGUUGAAGCAUGUGUGCUUAAUCAUUUGGUGAGCAUCACCCAUUUCGAGCUCUCUGGAUUCAAGGUUCUGCAGCAGCAAAUGCCAAACAUGAAUCAUAAUCCGUGUUUUCCAUAAUCACUGCUGUUAUGAUAACGAUCGAUGUUGUUCACUUGUAGGUCAGGUGAGUAUUUCCAGGCAUCAUGCUUCUGUUGGGUUUUACCUCGUUUUCUACAGACUAAAUUGGAGGGGCAGCAGGCAAUCUGCUGGCCUCAGGUGACCCAAAUAAAAGGACAGGCAAUUUAGCCUGAGCACCACAGGUGGAAUCCUCAAUAAACCUGCUGAACCCAGAGUUUUUUUUUUCCCUUUUCGUUUCCUCUCCUGCCUGGUGAAGGACAGGAUGACCUCCUUUGCGAUGAUUGACGUGGAGCUAUUAGUACUUACAAAUUAAUUCCAGCGUGUUUCUGAGUCAGAAAGAGUAAAGGUCACUCUUCUUCCUGGUUUAUUCCCCUGAUACUAGAUAACGAACUCCAUCACCAGGAUUCUGCUCCCAUUCACCUCUCCAUCCCGUGCUUCCCAAAGGAUAAUUGGCACACAGCUAUCAGUGGCCAUGAGUGGCCUAAUGACAUCACCAAGAGAUGAGCUAUGACAUACCAGUUUCUCUUUACUGUUCAUCACUUUCACUCAGAGCCUUUCACUGCUUCCGCAUUCGACAUUUGUAUGAUUGCCUUUUAUAUCCAAAGUGCAGCAUGCCUGGUGUUAGAAUGUUAUUAAGCUAUUACUUUGCAAGAUGGAUGUAUGCCUUCAGAAGCCAUUAUAAAGGCUGUGGUUUUGUUGCUGUUGAAAUCCCAUUAAAGAAAGGUAAUCCUUACAGUUAAUCAUUCUUCACAGAGAUCAUUUGGAAUUUCAAAGCACGUUUUUGUGCAGUCAGAUUGAGGCUGAAUGGAGCAGCAAUUUGUUUUCCUUCCGUGAGACCCAAAGUGAGCCUUGCUGGAUGGUCUGAUGUGCUCAUUUCUUUCAGCCAAUAUUCCUCCGCAUGACCUACAGGUAUUGCCCCCAGCACAGCUGAGCCUUUCAGUGAUGAAGUGUUUCCUGCCCUAUAGAGAUCACUACACAACACAGAUGACUUUAGGAUUUAUGUCUGCCAGGGCAGACUCUGGGCAACUUGAAAAAUAAAUAUAUCUACGACAUUAUCAGAAAAAAGACAGAAAGACUGCAUGAUUUCCAAUAGCACCCAGAAUAACAGCACGGCAUCCCAUCUCACAGUUUGCACUGAAUAUUCAUGACGUGUCCCAGAGAAUCUUCCCUUGAGGGGUGCUCGGGGCGUAUUCUGAAGCCUGUGACAGAUUAAAGUGGGCCUGCUCUUGUUCAUCACAACAGCAAGAAAAUACAAUCUUACUCUAUUUGUACUCCAAUAUUGUAUUUAAUGUGUAACAGAUAUAUACAGCAGAUGACACUCUUGAACAAAGAACAAACCUAGCCGCAGGGGGAAAGCGGGGCAUGGGAAGCAGAGGAUGUCUUGAAUUGAGUUUCACAGGUAAUUGCUGCUGAUCUAUCAAGUCAAAGUCUAUGUUCAGGCUGCUCACGUUUGCUGCCAAAACCUUCUGGAAGACUCCACUGAGGAGUGCCAGAGGUGGAGAGGAGAAUCGGGGUGUUUUAUGUUAAGAUGCUUUUCAAAACUAAGUAAUAAAAAAUGCAUUACU